Long non-coding RNA from Eufriesea mexicana, 491 nucleotides. RefSeq lists it as uncharacterized. Lineage: Eukaryota; Metazoa; Arthropoda; Insecta; Hymenoptera; Apidae. The record is from RefSeq and is a predicted model, not a curated record. The transcript is spliced from 3 exons.
CAUAUAGUCCAUGAUUGCCUCUGUGAUGGAAAAGUUGAAUGAAAUGAAUGGGAGGAUAACAUGCUUACCACAAAUUGUAUAUAAAACUGUAGAGUAGUGGGGCCUGCCCAGAUGAUCUUACGCUCCUAUCUGCUUGGACAUGCGCAGAGGUAGCUUCAUUUUUACUUUGAUUAUACCACUAAUAAUGGAACAUUCUGUACAUAGUCAGCAGAAAUUGAAAGGACCAAGUGACGAAAAUAAUGGACACGAGGAAUGUAUCAAUGAGAGAGAUCAUUGGAAAAAGAUUUGUUGAAGCUGUUCAAAACGUUCAUGAAAUGGGCAUUGUAAUGUAUGCAACUACAAGGAGGACUCGUAACAUUUGUUUUAAAAACAAGUAACACAGAAGAAGAGAGUAAUGAAGGUUGGGCACGAGCAAAAUUAACUGUCGAUCUUCAAAGAAGUCGUGCACUACGAUUUCAGAUAAUCAAAUUAGCAUAGAAUGAGUUUUGUGA